This 803-nucleotide long non-coding RNA is filed under the name Capra hircus (goat). Its description in RNAcentral is "lncRNA (ENSCHIG00000001876.1)". Lineage: Eukaryota; Metazoa; Chordata; Mammalia; Artiodactyla; Bovidae. The record is from RNAcentral.
GCAUCCUCUCUGGUGGGCGGGGCUCUGAGUGAGCUCGGGCCUGAGCGGCGGGAAACUGACUCCAGGCCCUGCGUCCGGCUCCCGGCCCUGCUUUCCUCGCCGCCGCAGGGGAGUGGAGGUGCCGAGAGCCACUGCUCCCUGGACUCUGCAGCACUGGUUCCUACCAGAGGCAGUAGCCAUGCUGGUGUUAUACUAGACUCUAGGAGUCAGCAGCGAGAUGGAGGAAGCCACCUUAUUUUCCUUUAAUUAAAAAGACAGAAGGAAGGAAGGAAACCUUUGAGACAAAUACCUUUUCUAAUCACCAUUUCCGAUAAUGAACAGGCAUACAUCAGGCCGUUUGCAUUACAGAACCAUCAGCACAGAACAACAGUCGGAGGAAAAGAAACUCUUCUUUGAAGAAAAGCUUGCAACCUGUCCUAAGCUUCUGUGGCCAUUCAGAAAGGAGUAAUCAUAAAUAAAUGUAAUCAAGGGGAUGGGAUAUAUUUGUCCAGAAAUGUUUUUACAUGGAAAAAUGUGUGAAGUCUUACUUGAAACUAUGAUAUACAAUAUUCAAAUUGUAACCCAGUGUGUUCUAGAAUCGUCUUCAUAAUUUAAUAUUGUAAUAAAGAGCUGGCUCCAUCUUAUGAUAUCUGAUUGCCGAGAGCGCUGAAGUCUCACUUCUCUCUCUUCCCCUUAUGCACCACAUCUGGCUAAGCUUUUCAGGAAGCCUGGGAGAUGGAAACCUUGCAAGUCCCUCCCUGUGUAUGAGAACCCUUAUCCCCGCCCCACCCCACAAUAAAAAGCCCCAAGCAGCCUCCUUUUCU